GUCUAUGGCCAUACCACCCUGAAUGUGCCCAAUCUCUUCUGAUUUCAGAAGCUAAGCAGCCCAGGCCUGGUUGGUAUUUAGAUGGGGAGAUUCUAGGAAAUUACACGCAGGUAUGCUCC
This is a ribosomal RNA of Otolemur garnettii (small-eared galago), 119 nucleotides long. The record is from Ensembl. NCBI's taxonomy places the organism in Eukaryota, Metazoa, Chordata, Mammalia, Primates, Galagidae.